RNAcentral lists this ribosomal RNA (253 nucleotides) under uncultured bacterium. Its description in RNAcentral is "partial 16S ribosomal RNA". It matches the Rfam family "Bacterial small subunit ribosomal RNA", at positions 524 to 776 of the family's 1533-position model. The record is from RNAcentral.
GACAGAGGGUGCAACCGUUGUUCGGAAUUACUGGGCGUAAAGCGCGUGUAGGCGGUCUGCUAAGUCGGGUGUGAAAGCCCUGGGCUCAACCCAGGAAGUGCACUCGAAACUGGCAGGCUAGAGUACUGGAGAGGUUGGUGGAAUUCUCGGUGUAGAGGUGAAAUUCGUAGAUAUCGAGAGGAACACCGGUGGCGAAGGCGGCCAACUGGACAGAUACUGACGCUGAGACUCGAAAGCGUGGGGAGCAAACAGG